RNAcentral lists this ribosomal RNA (456 nucleotides) under uncultured bacterium. Its description in RNAcentral is "bacterial SSU rRNA". It matches the Rfam family "Bacterial small subunit ribosomal RNA", at positions 1 to 447 of the family's 1533-position model. The record is from RNAcentral.
CCCUUAGAGUUUGAUCCUGGCUCAGGAUGAACGCUAGCUACAGGCUUAACACAUGCAAGUCGAGGGGCAGCAUGGACCCAGUUUUGCUGGGUUUGAUGGCGACCGGCGCACGGGUGAGUAACGCGUAUCCAACCUGCCCUUUACUCCGGGAUAGUCUCCUGAAAGGGAGUUUAAUACCGGAUGUGUUUGUCUUUCCGCAUGGGAGCGACAAAUAAAGAUUGAUUGGUAAAGGAUGGGGAUGCGUCCCAUUAGCUUGUUGGCGGGGUAACGGCCCACCAAGGCGACGAUGGGUAGGGGUUCUGAGAGGAAGGUCCCCCACAUUGGAACUGAGACACGGUCCAAACUCCUACGGGAGGCAGCAGUGAGGAAUAUUGGUCAAUGGGCGGGAGCCUGAACCAGCCAAGUAGCGUGAAGGACGACGGCCCUACGGGUUGUAAACUUCUUUUAUAAGGGAAU